Long non-coding RNA from Eublepharis macularius, 484 nucleotides. RefSeq lists it as uncharacterized. NCBI's taxonomy places the organism in Eukaryota, Metazoa, Chordata, Lepidosauria, Squamata, Eublepharidae. The transcript is spliced from 3 exons. The record is from RefSeq and is a predicted model, not a curated record.
AACCGGGGCGGAGAGAGGAAAGCCCCAACUGGGGCUGUGAUGUUCGGGGACUGAAGGAGGCAAGAGAUCGAUCUGUUGGAAGUUUUCCAGUUGGUCGCGUCGGCGCGGUGGGGAAAGGAUUGGAAAGAGCGAGCAAAGCCCCUGGCUUCAGAGACUUACCGGGGCCCUUCGGCGUCUGCCUAAUCAUGCAACGCUUAGGAAGAGGUCGAAACGUUUCCCUUGCAUUAUCUCCGCAAUUCUUGCAACAGCCCUGUAAGAGGUCUCCCUGGAGGUGGAGCCCGCAGAGCAGAAAGCAGCAAGAGGCCCAAGACAUAGUGGCUGGUUGGUUCCGGAUUUGCUCUCACCAUGGUGAACUGUGCUCCAAUUACAUCCAGAAAGGUCUCUCUCAGCACCGGCUACUGAGAUCCCUUAAGUGGAGAGGUCAAGGACUGACCUGGGGACCUUCUGGCACGGCGCAAAGCAGAUGCACUGAGCCGUGGCCCCU